UCUCCCUCUCCCUCGUCUGCGGCUGCCGCCGCCACCAGCGUCCUCCCCCCCCCCACCCCUUCUCUCAUUCCCUCACCUGCGCCCUCGUCCACCUGGGCCUCGUGGUCGGCCAUGGAGGUCUGAUCCGACCCAUGGAUGGACGGGGGCGAAACCCUAGCCCCACACCGACCCAUGGAUGGAUGGGGAUGGGGCGACGGUGGCGGCGGCCUUCUCUUGGUGCUUACUGAUGUGGUGGUCCUCGAUGCCGGCGACGGGUUGCAGCACGUAGACGCCAAAAUUUGUGCAGGCUGCGGGUGUGGCGGAGGAGCACCAUGGCGGGCGUGCAGGCCAUCUUUCCCUACCAAAUGAUCCCAAUCCCUUUCUUUCUGCUCGACAGCUCUGAAGAAUUGACAUUUGUCAAGAACCUGCAACAGAACCAAAAGAAUGGUAUACGUAUAUAACUACUUUGGUGAUUCCUUUUAAGAUGGCAAUGAGACAUGAGAGAAAGAUAACUUGUCAUUUAAGAUGCCCCUAAUUCAAUUUUAUAUCGUGCUGAACUUUCUCAAACUAUUAUGUAUAUCAUCUUAGUAAUUGAGUGGUAUUAUCUGCUGGUUGCAAAAUGAGAAAAGCAACACAUGCAUGAAGAAUAGUAGUGAAUAUUACACAUCUUACCUCUCAUAUUUGUUGAUCUGACCCUUGGCACCACCCAACGAAGGAUGAAGGAAGAGGCCAGCUGCAGCAAAACCAUGCUCCACAUUCCCUUGCAAAGGAAAAAAUUCAGAAUUGAAGGUGUCCAUGCCGGACUGUAUGCAGUGUGCGCCUGCGACACAGAGUUAGUUUUGCUGAGAACUGAACAUGGGUCAAAUUACAAUUAGUAUUAGGUUAAUCAAGUUGUUUCAAUUGGUAUUAGCAGUCAUGACUCGCUUUUGUCCACUUGGCUGAACACUCCUUGCUUGAAUUACACACGUUUCCGAGCUUUUGAGGUUCAAUUGCCAUGUGGCCAUGAAUAUGACCCAGAAAUUGGAUAUGUGACCGAGAAAUAGAACCACUGUACUUUCUCCAGGCAUUCUCUCGUCAACCAGGAAAUCGCUUUUCUGUACAAGUAAAAUACUUUUCAAACUGCGCCAAAAUUUAACCAUUAUCUUUUUCUUGGCCAUCUGUGAUGCAUGCUUGAUCCGGUUAAAAAGAAGAUGACAACAAGUGCUUGAUGUAGUCUCAUCAGUAUAACAUCUGCCACAAUUAAUGUCUUGAUAUUUCCAACACUGACAAAGACGAAGUACUAUAGACACAUAGUGAUCUACUCCAACGACUUGGCAAUCCUUUCUAUUUCAAGUUCUGGCUCAUGUAUCUGUGUAAUUGGCUGCAGGUUAUCACUGCUACCCCACCGAAGUCCCUGGCAAGUACGUGUUGCUACCAAGGAAAAUAUGCUUUCUCAUCAAUUUUGCAGCAUGCAUUAGAAAGUUCAAAUUUAUGUCCUCGAAUAAAUUUCUUCAUGAAGGUGCAUCAGGAUGACCAUCCACCAUUGUUUCUUCGAAAGCACGCGGCAGAGGCACCCACACCCGCGGUUCAGCAAGAUCUACAUCUCCAACAACUACACCAAGGACUGGGGCAUAUACGCCAUAUGCGCCUGCGUUGAAGCUCAGUGUAACAUAUAUGAAGGAGGACAGAAGACGACUGUUUUCAAUUACAUGCCGGAGAAGGCUGCUGACAGAGAAGAGACGACAGCAGGAGCAGAGCCUCUCUCCUGCAAGGCCUUAGGCAUCUUCUUACAAUGCCCAUACAUAUUGCAUAUUCAUAUUAUUAUUUUCUGACAAACUUGCCUUUUCAUGGCUGGCUCAAGGUCAUUUCGGAAGAAAAAUCCUACUAAAAUGUUUGUAUAGUUGGCAGUCCGGUGAUUCCAGCUUAUUUGUCUAAUUUGAUGUAGGAAAUGGAUUUUUUUGAGUUUGAGUUCUCAGUAAUACUUGUUGCCUCCUGUUGUGAUUCUAGGUUGAACUUGCCAAGAUGCUACUAAAUAAGGGCAGGGGCACUUGUUUGAAUACUGGUCAGAACCCGGUGUUGAUGACGACAAGAAGAAAAGCUUCUUUGACAAGGUUUGCCGACUUAAUUCAAGCUAUCCUGCUGGACUGACAUCAUACAUCCAGAAUGCCAAAAGGCUUUUUGCAGAUUCCAAGUCUGGACAAAAUCCAUACGAUGGUUUCACGCCUUCGGUUCCCUCGGGGGAAGUAUUGUCCUUCGGUGAUGACAAUUUUGUUUAAGCACACAAUGUUGCAUUUGUUCUUGUAGCUGGUGGGCUUGGCGAAAGACUUGGUUACAAAGGAAUUAAGGUUAUCAUUGGGAAGUCUAAAAGUUGCACAGGAAGAUCUCGGCAAAUACUUUAAGCCCCAAAGUAACAAAGGUGAGGACCUAAACUGGUGGUACUGGCCUACCUUUCCUUCAGGGAAUGCCCAGCGGACCUGAAAGAUGGUAUCGGCAGUUUGAUAAUUGCAGCCCCAAUGGUGCUCUGAGCUCUUUGAACUCAGUCAAUGUGGGACCCUUUUGACAGGAAGUAUGGGAAAUAUUUCGUUGUUGCUGCAGUUGACCUAUGCUAAAAUGCCGGUGUUAAUAACCAUGUAAGUGUGUAUUUCAUUUCUUUUUCUGCAAAGUCAUUCGUUGUCACUACUGCAUGUAUUUUAUGCUCACUACUGAAAUCGAUGAUGUCCUUCUGAAGCUAAUUGAGAAGUUGUCGGUCAAUAUGUCGCCUAAGCAAUUUAAGUUGGAAGUUCUUAAGGAUAUAGAAAAGGAGGAUCAGGGAAACUAUGUUAAAGGGUCAAGUUAGGAUAUUUACUAAUUAGCUUGAAAACUCUCAUGGGUCAAGGGAACAAUUAACAUAGUUUCGUGCUAACUCGAUCGACAGAUCCUCGGUUCGAACCCCCGAAAGCACACCAUUUUUUCGCUCGCUUCAGAUUGAACGGGAAAAAAAGAAAGACGGGCCGGCCCAGCACCGCGCGGGGAUGUGCGCCUGUUUGUUAGAAUUGAAGAAACGGGCGCAGCGGGCGCCGGCUUUUAGAUGCGGCUUUUUGGGUUUUUGAUUUUUGUCUGGUUUUUCCUAGGUCUACAAGAAACUAUUUAUUUUUUGAAGCACAAUGCCUUUGAAAAAACAAAUAUGUACUUUCAUAAGAAUCACAAUUGUAUUUCUCGUGAUAGCAUAGAUUUGCUUCCGCGAGAAGCACAACCCAUGCCUCCGCCAGAAGCACAACCUGUGCGUGGAAGAAAAGCACAAGUGUGCCUCCACUAGAAGCAAAUAUGUGCUUGUACGAUAAACACAGAUAUGUUCGAUGAGAAAAAAAACACAACCAUGAGCUUCUACGAGAAGCACAGUCUUACCACCUCGAAAAAUGAAUAAGACACAAUUUGUGCGUAAAAAACGGUGAAACCACAACCGUGCUUUUGUUUUUUUUUCUUCUGCCUUUUCUUUCAGUAUUCAAUGUUUUCCGGUUGUCGAUUUUUUUGGGAUUUUUUGUUUUCUUUUUUUUUAACUAAUCUAUAGUAGAACAAAAUUGAAUUUCAUCAUCCUAGACAGAACCAAAAUUAACAAGAUACUGUUGUUUAAAAUUUAUUAAAAGAUCUGUUGUUAGGAACCAUCCUUCGGAAUCAGAAUAUUUAGACUAAUAACACCAAGAUGUAGAGAGCAACUUAGCAAAAUUAUUGUUAGCAAAGAAUAAUUUUGUACAAUGGAAAUUCGUGAGGGUCUGGAUCCUCUUUUAUCGGGUGACCAUUAGAAAAGGUAGAUCCUCUUUUAGUUGACAACUAUUAACAAAAGUAUUGUUAGGCCACGAACAUGAGCAAAUUGUUUAAACAAUUAAGCUGAUUUAAUAAUUGUAUAACUCAGUCCGAACGCAUGCCCCACCUGCAAAAGAAAGAUACAGUUGCUGCAGCUAACUGUUGCAACUGCGUCUAUAAAAAUCAGAGGAAGCUUAUUUAAUCAGCCAAUUGACAGGUUCAAAUUAUUGUUAGUGCUAGCCUGCUAGGACCAAUUGCACGUGUCAAUUCAUGCCAAUAGCUGUAAAUCAAAAGAAAGAAAAAAAAAUAGACUCACCAGCUGCAAAUACUCCAGGAAUAAAGGUGCAAGCAUGGCACUGGGCAUGAUUUAUUUUGUACAACGAUUGGGUGAGAGGGUUUAAUUUUCAUAUUUUUUUCAGACAAACAGAUGGAGAUUACAUGGUGAUGUACGUAUAUGACAAACCCUUAUUUUCUGUAAAGUGGUAGUGCAGAUGACCAAUGUGGUGUGAAUUCCACUUCUGCAGAUAUCUUGUUGAUGGCACUAUUUUCUGUCACUAUAAAUACAUCGUUGUAUACUAUUGUUACACAUGAUUUCAUAGUUUGCCAAGUAUCACAGAAUUUGUGGUUGAGUACUUAUAUCCAAAAGCAUCGUGUUAGUACUGAAGUUAAUUUA
Molecule: long non-coding RNA, 4411 nt
Organism: Triticum dicoccoides
Lineage: Eukaryota; Viridiplantae; Streptophyta; Magnoliopsida; Poales; Poaceae
Exons: 8
Source: RefSeq, a predicted model, not a curated record